This 5697-nucleotide long non-coding RNA is filed under the name Xyrichtys novacula (pearly razorfish). Lineage: Eukaryota; Metazoa; Chordata; Actinopteri; Labriformes; Labridae. The record is from RNAcentral.
GUUAGCGAAAUUCCAAUGUGUGCGGAUCGGCAAAAAAUGCGAAAUAACCCUUUAACCGUACAUUUGACAGAUACGCCCGCACUGACUUUUUUGUAGAUCUUAUUGAGAUACAUGUGUGUGUCAAUUUUUGUGUCAUUUUGACAAAGCGUACAGGCGUGACAGUCAAUAGUGUGAAUUUUCACCUUAGGGGGCGCUAUGGAGCCAUUUUGCAUUUUCUUGUUUGGCCGACUUCGGAAUAUCAAAUUUUUCACCAGGCCCGGUCGUCCUGCCAAAUUUCAUGAGUUUUCGCCAGUGGGAAGUGGGCCAUUUUCCAGUUCAAAGGGGAGGAAAAAGAAGAAAGAAAGAAAGAAAGAAAGAAAGAAAGAAAGAAACAAAGAAAAACCACUUGGGGAAUAAUAGGGCUCUCGCAGCUGCUUAGCAGCUACGCUCGGGCCCUAAAAAACCCCUACAGGAAUAACAGGGCCUACGCCCGGCUGCUCUGCAGCUGGCUCGGGCCCUAACUAGGACCCCGUUGGGGCACUGGCGGGCCCGAGCUGUGUCGCGUCCCCCCCCCAACGCGCUGCCUCCCCGUCCCAUUUGUGUCCUCUGGCCAUCGCCCUCUCUGGUAACGCCCAUCACUGCAAAGACCCUUUUCCUUCAUCGGCGUUUGCUGUUCUUCCUGCCAGUGCGUGUUGCUUUCACUUACACUUGCCACAGCCAGCCUCGUGAGUGCCUAGCCUAUUGGAUAUCACUGUCACGUACACAGGACAGUCAUUACCUUUCUAUUAAUACUUUGUUUUUUAAUUUCACAUUAAUUUCCAUAUUGUAUAAACAACUGGAAAAAACUUGAGCCCCUGCCCCUGUAUAAUCAUGUGCACGUCUCUGUUCUAGCUCUAAGGUGAAUCUUCACUGCUCAUGUUCUCCUCAGAAGCAGUCACCUCACUCCCCUCAGGUUACUGUACACAUGCACCAACUGCCUGCUUCAGGUUUGGAUGGAGCUUCAUGGUUGUCUUUUGGAGAAAUGACUAGUCAAGUUGUGUUUGAAAUUUGAUUUUUUUCAGGGGCAAAAGGAGCCUCUGCAUUCUUGUCAAAUAUGUAAAUAGCAUGUUUUUGCAGGUGCUAAAAACCAGACCCUGAGUGUGUGUGUGUGUGCGUGUGUGUGUGUGUCUGUGUGUGUGUGUGUGUGUGUGUGUGUGUGUGUGUGUGUGUGUGCGUUCAAGUCACAUGACAUAUUUAACCGGAUGUAGCUGCAAGACGGAGCCUCGUUGACUCUCCGUUUCAAUUUAUCUCAAAAGUGAGGACCUCAACCUAUAUACCAGUUUUUAAAUUGUGUUGAUAGGCCAAAUAAAACCAGAGUUAUGAUAAAUUAUUUCCGCGAUACUUGUUUUCUGCUUAUUUUGAUCACGUUCGGCGCUCGAUCGCGCUGUAUGAGACAGGAAAACAUAGCAUGCAGACAUUAGCGACAGGUCUUACAGGCGGAAAAGGCUUGCCAAAGGAAAAAAAAAACACACCACAACAUCUCUCCUAUUGGUGGAAAACUUCACCACAACAACCAAUCCAAAAUUAUAUGGUGACUGAUUGACAAGGGGCCGGAACUUACGUUCUUCCUGCAAUAUGAGAAGGGAGGGAGGGACUCUCAGCAGGGAUGCAGUCUGGGACACGUAGUUGCAAACCUAGCGACUUUGUUGUUAGAUUCAAUGACUUUUCAGACCCCCUAACGACUUUUUUUAGAAAGAAAGUGACUUUUAUCGACUUCUUCUGGAGUUUAGAGACUCUGACAUGAAGCAGGCUUUCCUUACUGAGGAGUUAGCAACGCUGCUAAGGGUGCAGAGCCACACAUGCGCUCCGAGCUCUGCAUGGGAGACUGAAGCUGACAGAGCUGCAGCAGUUAGCAGGUUUCACCCUCAGAGACCACCAGGGGUUCAUGUUGAGGCAUUUUCAGUUUUUUUUUUUUUGCCAUAGACACUGUCAGCACAAUCUGCAGUUACACUAACAAAAAUGCUGCAAAAAACAAAGAAUUAUGGAAAAAUUACACAUGGACUAACAUAGAGGAGGAUCUACACAAGUUUUUUACAUCAUGUUUUACAUCAUGCAUCAUGUACAUCAUGUUUUUUUGUAGUGGCAUAAAUAAAAAGUGACAUUUGUGAGACUAUACAGUGUUUUGUAAAUAAUUUUACAAAGAACACCUGGGCCAUUGCCUGCAUUUUGAUGUAAAUAGAUGUAAAUUACUAUGUUCUUUGUUAAAAAUUUGCAUAUGUUUUGAAGUUUACAAUUUUUAUUUGAAGUUUAAGUUUUAAAAACAGUUCAUCACACAUAUUUGUGGUUUUCACAGUAAAAACGUUACUUUUUUCCACUCGGAUUUUAUGUUUUGUGUGUGAAUUUGGGUCCAAUGUGUAAAUAUAGUAUGUCAAAAUGAUAAAAUAACUGUAAAUUGACACAGGUGAGGUUGUGCUGAAAAAAAUGAUACCAGGCAAGGCAAGGUAAAAAUUUUGUAAGAGGAAAUAUAAAGGUAAAAUCUAAAGUAGUCAAAAACGGCCAAUAGUGACUCACGGACUCCACAGACAAGUCCCUUUGGCGCCACUCAGUGGGCAAAACUACUUUGUCUACUGUAAUGUAUAUUUGGGUCAUCUUUGGCGCCCCCUAAAACGUAAACCGUGGGGUGCAGCGUCAUGAUUUUUACAACUUUGAAUGGCCAUGGAGUGUAGAUUGGCCUGAGCAAAUUUGGUGUCAGUGGGACGAAAGCCUUAGGAGGAGUUAGUGAAAUUCCAAUGUGUGCGAAUCGGCAAAAAAUGCAAAAUAGCCCUUUUACCGUACAUUAUACAGAUACGCGCUCUUUGACUUUUUCGUAGAUCUAAUUGAGAUACACGUGAUUGUCAAAUUUUGUGUCAAUAUGACAAAGCGUAUAGGCGUGAAUCUCAACAAUAUGUAUUUUCACCUUAAGGGACAAGAAAAAAUGGACUUUUUUCUCCUGCCAUGGGGGGGCGCUCUUUUGGGGAGUAAAAAUUCCUUCACAAAUGUGUUGAUGGCUGGACAUUGCAUCAUCCUAGAAAACUUGGAGGCCAGUGAGGACAAAAAUAAAAAGUUAUAAGACUUUUAAAUAUGUGGAUUUUAGGGUUAUCUUUGGCGCCCCCUAGAACCUAAACCGUGGGGUGCAGCGUCAUGAUUUUGAUAACUUUUAAUGGCCAUGGGGUGUAGAUUGGCCUGAGCAAAUGUGGUGCCGGUGGAACGAAAGCCUUAGGAGGAGUUAGCCACAUUCCAAUGUGUGCGGAUCGGCAAAAAAUGCGGAAUAACCCUUUAACCGUACAUUUGACAGAUACGCGCGCAUUGACUUUUUCGUAGAUCUUAUUGAGUUACAUGUGUGUGUCAAGUUUUGUGUCAUUUUGACAAAGCGUAUAGGCGUGACACUCAACAAUGUGUAUUUUCACCUUAGGGGACAAGAAAAAAUGGACUUUUUUCUUCUGCCAUGGGGGGGCGCUCUUUUGGGGAGUAAAAAUUCCUUCACAAAUGUGUUGAUGGCUGGACAUUGCAUCAUCCUAGAAAACUUGGAGGCCAGUGAGGACAAAAAUAAAAAGUUAUAAGACUUUGAAAUAUGUGGAUUUUAGUGUUAUCUUUGGCGCCCCCUAGAACCUAAACCUUGGGGUGCAGCGUCAUGAUUUUGAUAACUUUUAAUGGCCACGGGGUGUAGAUUGGCCUGAGCAAAUGUGGUGCCGGUGGAACGAAAGCCUUCGGAGGAGUUAGCGAAAUUCCAAUGUGUGCGGAUCGGCAAAAAAUGCGAAAUAACCCUUUAACCGUAAUUUUGACAGAUACGGCCGCACUGACUUUUUUGUAGACCGUAUUGAGAUACAUAUGUGUGUCAAUUUUUGUGUCAAUAUGACAAAGCAUACAGGCGUGACAGUCAAUAGUGUGAAUUUCCACCUUAGGGGGCGCUAUGGAGCCAUUUUGCAUUUUAUUGUUUGGGCGACUUCAGAAUAUCGAAUUUUUCACCAGGCCCGGUCGUCCUGCCAAAUUUCAUGAGUUUUCGCCAGUGGGAAGUGGGCCAUUUUCCAGUUCAAAGGGGAGGAAAAAGAAGAAACUAGGGCCCCGUUGGGGCACUGGCGGGCCCGAGCCGCGUUGCGCCGCCCCCAGUGCGACCGCCUCCCCCUCCCGAUCGCGUCACACUCAAGGUCCAAAGAUGGUGUGCGCACUUGUCUGUGGUCAUUUCCCAUUAUAAUUAAUGGGAGGCGCAGUUUCUACCAAAACACUCGCUGCAGACAAACUACAUGUCCUAUUUGAAAAAAGUCUGGACCAUGAGUGAGGGCACAAACACAGCUAGGAUAUAUCCAAACGGCAAGUUGCUCCUCGUUACGGUGUUGCCGGGAGAGCGAUGCGAUUGAGCCAUUGUGUGAUGGGCAGGAAAAACUUGACUGUUUCUCCUGCCAUGGGGGAUGGGGGAUGGGAGGGGGGGAAAGGGAUGUGGAUUCUUUUAAGAAUGUGGAUAUUUGGGUCAUCUUUGGCGCCCCCUAGAACGUAAACCGUGGGGUGCAGCGUCAUGAUUUUUAAAUCUUUGAAUGGCCAUGGGGUGUAGAUUGGCCUGAGCAAAUUUGGUGUCAGUGGGACGAAAGCCUUAGGAGGAGUUAGCCACAUUCCAAUGUGUGCUAAUCAGCAAAAAAUGCAAAAUAGCCCUUUAACCGUACAUUUUACAGAUACGCGCGCACUGACUUUUUCGUAGAUCUUAUUGAGAUACAUGUGUGUGUCAAAUUUUGUGUCAAUAUGACAAAGCAUACAGGUAUGACAGUCAACAAUGUGUAUUUUCACCUUAUGGGACAAGAAAAAAUUGACUUUUUUCUCCUGCCAUGGGGGGGCGCUCUUUUAGGGAGUAAAAAUUCCUUCACAAAUGUGUUGAUGGCUGGACAUUGCAUCAUCCUAGAAAACUUGGAGGCCAGAGAAGACACAAAUAAAAAGUUAUAAGACUUUUAAAUAUGUGGAUUUUAGGGUUAUCUUUGGCGCCCCCUAGAACCUAAACCGUGGGGUGCAGCGUCAUGAUUUGAAUAACUUUUAAUGGCCAUGGGGUGUAGAUUGGCCUGAGCAAAUGUGGUGCCGGUGGAACGAAAGCCUUCGGAGGAGUUAGCGAAAUUCCAAUGUGUGCGGAUCGGCAAAAAAUGCACAAUAACCCUUUAACCGUACAUUUGACAGAUACGCCCGCACUGACUUUUUUGUAGAUCUUAUUGAGAUACAUGUGUGUGUCAAUUUUUGUGUAAUUUUGACAAAGCGUACAGGCGUGACAGUCAAUAGUGUGAAUUUUCACCUUAUGGAACAAGAAAAAAUGGACUUUUUUCUCCUGCCAUGGGGGGGCGCUCUUUUGGGGAGUAAAAAUUCCUUCACAAAUGUGUUGAUGGCUGGACAUUGCAUCAUCCUAGAAAACUUGGAGGCCAGUGAGGGCAAAAAUAAAAAGUUAUAAGACUUUGAAAUAUGUGGAUUUUAGGGUUAUCUUUGGCGCCCCCUAGAACAUAAACCGUGGGGUGCAGCGUCAUGAUUUGAAUAACUUUUAAUGGCCAUGGGGUGUAGAUUGGCCUGAGCAAAUGUGGUGCCGGUGGAACGAAAGCCUUCGGAGGAGUUAGCGAAAUUCCAAUGUGUGCGGAUCGGCAAAAAAUGCACAAUAACCCUUUAACCGUACAUUUGACAGAUACGCCCGCACUGACUUUUUUGUAGAUCUUAUUGAGAUACAUGUGUGUGUCAAUU